ACAGGCCAGGUUGGCUGCCCCCAACAGCCUGAGCUGCCCGACUCCCACCGCCUCUCUCCCUUCCUGCUGCCUGCAUGGAUGAGUAGUGUGCUCACUGCCUUGGGCUCUGAUUCAGCCUGUGUCCCCUGAGAGGGGUCUCCCUCGGAGCUUGGGUUCACGGUGGUACUCCCAGGCCCUGAGGCUGCAAGGAUACCUCGGGCUGACCUGUCCCUUCCUGGGCCAGAUCUCUUCGCUGGGGGCCGGGGCCCUCACUGGUCUUGUUUAGCCAUGCAGCACAGAGCCAUGGGGACACAGGGGCUGCUAGGAGAGAGGCUGUCCCUGGGAAGCCAUGCAGGGAUGGGGAUGGUUGGUGUCACCUGGCUGCUCCUGGACUUUGGUGCUGGGCCCCGUGUGGCUGCUUAACCAGCUGCUGACCCAUCCCGUGCCCUGGCAGAGGGUGCAGCCUCCUCCAGCCUGUUUCCCAGCUGGCUCCAAGCUCUGGCACUGGUGUGGGUGGGCGCCCUUAGUGUGCGAGACCUUGCCAAGCACGUUGGAGAGUGGCGUGCAGCAGAAGGGAAGGGGUGGCUUUGGUCCCUGCUGGCCCUGGUGGGUGCUCAAGUGUUGUGGGAGUUGCAGACUAGGUCGAGGCCUCUGUGGGGGAGGCUGGGUUGCAGAAGGAUGGGCCGCACUGUCACUGUCCCUGGGGGCCUUCCCACUCUGCACCACAGGGCUGAUCCUGCCCAGCUUCACACCAGCUCCAGAACUCCAGUCCUCCUGCCACCUGUGCAGGCUGCGCACCCAGCCCAGGGCUUUCUAGAAAGGGCCUCCCAGCCCAAGGGCAUAGCUCCCAGGCAGGUGCAAAACAGCCCCACAGCCCGAAACCUGGCCGUUGGCUCGGUGGGCUGGUGCACACCUCCCACAGGUAAACAACGGUGUGCUUUGUGCAACGGACCGGAGCUUGAGAUCACUCAGCGCACCCGGAGUUUCUAGUGGCAUCCCAGGGCGGCUGCCCUAGGACAGGCUGAGGAGGAGACCAGCGUCCCUGGAGGAUACAGCCCCUCCUCUGCCCAAGUUGAGGU
Long non-coding RNA from Cavia porcellus (domestic guinea pig), 1058 nucleotides. RefSeq lists it as uncharacterized. NCBI's taxonomy places the organism in Eukaryota, Metazoa, Chordata, Mammalia, Rodentia, Caviidae. The transcript has 2 exons. The record is from RefSeq and is a predicted model, not a curated record.